UCCGGCUUAUCACCGGCAGUCCCUCUAGAGUGCCCAACUAAAUGAUGGCAACUAAAGGCGAGGGUUGCGCUCGUUGCGGGACUUAACCCAACAUCUCACGACACGAGCUGACGACAGCCAUGCAGCACCUAAGCAGCGGCCCCUUGCGGGGAAGAGGACUUUCAUCCCCGGUCCGCUGCUCUUCAAACCCAGGUAAGGUUCUUCGCGUUGCAUCGAAUUGAACCACAUGCUCCACCGCUUGUGCAGGCCCCCGUCAAUUCCUUUGAGUUUUAAUCUUGCGACCGUACUCCCCAGGCGGGGCACUUAAUGCGUUAGCUGCGGCACCCAGGGGGUCAAUACCCCGGACACCUAGUGCCCAUCGUUUACAGCGUGGACUAC
This 378-nucleotide unclassified non-coding RNA is filed under the name uncultured bacterium. RNAcentral describes it as "contains 16S-23S intergenic spacer region". The record is from RNAcentral.